UGGGGAAUAUUGCACAAUGGGGGAAACCCUUAUGCAGCGACGCCGCGUGAACGAAGAAGGUAUUCGUAUCGUAAAGUUCUGUCCUAUGGGAAGAUAAUGACAGUACCAUAGAAGAAAGCUCCGGCUAAAUACGUGCCAGCAUCCGCGGUAAUACGUAUGGAGCGAGCGUUGUCCGGAAUUAUUGGGCGUAAAGGGUACGCAGGCGGUUUAAUAAGUCGAAUGUUAAAGAUCGGGGCUCAACCCCGUAAAGCAUUGGAAACUGAUAAACUUGAGUAGUGGAGAGGAAAGUGGAAUUCCUAGUGUAGUGGUGAAAUACGUAGAUAUUAGGAGGAAUACCAGUAGCGAAGGCGACUUUCUGGACACAAACUGACGCUGAGGUACGAAAGCGGGGGGAGCAAACAGG
Molecule: ribosomal RNA, 403 nt
Filed under: Actinomycetes bacterium
Lineage: Bacteria; Bacillati; Actinomycetota; Actinomycetes
Description: Actinobacteria bacterium partial 16S ribosomal RNA
Rfam family: Bacterial small subunit ribosomal RNA
Source: RNAcentral